CCAGGAGUCAGGGCUGGAGGGCGCAGACACGGAAUCCAAGCGUGAGGAUCUCCCCUGGAACCUCACCCUCACAGCCUCUAAG
RNAcentral lists this long non-coding RNA (82 nucleotides) under Capra hircus (goat). Its description in RNAcentral is "lncRNA (ENSCHIG00010003768.1)". The record is from RNAcentral. Lineage: Eukaryota; Metazoa; Chordata; Mammalia; Artiodactyla; Bovidae.